RNAcentral lists this long non-coding RNA (257 nucleotides) under Arabidopsis thaliana (thale cress). RNAcentral describes it as "natural antisense transcript overlaps with AT3G11560 (AT3G02455)". Lineage: Eukaryota; Viridiplantae; Streptophyta; Magnoliopsida; Brassicales; Brassicaceae. The record is from RNAcentral.
AGAAUCAUUUUUGUCACCUCCCUGAGUUUAACAUAUGAGGUUAUAGUCUCCCACACAAAUUUAAAAACAAAACAUGCACUCUCAAUUAUUACUUUAUUGUCCUAUACUGAGAGUCUGAGACUGAUGCUACACUGCUUAGAGAGGGAUACAAUUGGUUUGCUUUGGUCCAUCUAGCAUUCAGAUAAAUUAUAACUAGCAGGAUCAAAACAAAAAGUGACAAUGAAAAAAAAAAACCUGUUGCAAGGAAGCUGCUUUGG